AUGUGAAAAAAAGGUUGCAAAAUUAAGCCCAUUGAGAGAUCCCCAAGGGUUUGCAGCUCUAUCAAAAAAAAACUAACUUUGUGGGACCUAAAAGACAAUGCACAUUUAGAGUUAUUUCACGCUUUAUUUAUAUUAUGUACAUAAUUCCACCUAUGUUCUUUCAUGGUUUUGACACCUUCAGUGAGAAUCUACAAUGUAAAUGGCCAUGAAAAGAAAGAAAAUGUAUCGUUUCCAAACUUUUGGUCUGUACUGUAUGAGUAAAGCCUGUUAUUAACAGAUCUUUGUAAUACUAUAUGAGGUGGCUGACAUAUGAAAAACACAGGGAGGCAAGGAUGAUGACUUUACCAUCCACCCAUAUGCAUAAUGUUUAUAUUAAUGCACAUUUCUCAGCAUGUGGCUUCCACCUCCUGGCUGGGUGUAUGACUCAAGCAGACCUGACUGGAAUUGCUGAGGCACCACUUCAUUUAUUUUCACACCAUCAACUGGAAGGCGACUCACACUCGUCCAUCCCUCAUGGAAUUGGGCGAGAGUUCUUUUGUCCCAAUGCUUCUGUGUUGUUGGAUGACUGUAAUUUCCAGUUGUUAUGAUUAUUUAUUUGACGCAAGAUGGCAGCUGUCAUUAAAUUACUUGCGAGACGAGUGAUUACAUUCUCUAAAAGACGUAUUUUGCAUAGAAACGUAAUCACAGGUGAGCGAGAGUGCUGUGGGGUGUAAAUUUGCCUUUAUUUCUAUUAUGAAAAGUGUCGGUUAUCAUUCAAGAACUAUGACUCAGCUAUGUUGCCAGAAGGAAGUGAUUUGGGUCGGUUCUCAAAUUCCAAACUAUUUAAAGUGACACAACGUCAACAAAAUAUUGCACAAAAAAAUAUUAAUUAAAAUGUGCUAACCCUAGGUGUGCCCGAACUGCGUGAUUAAGCUGCCGAACAGGCCAGGCUGAAAAAAAAAACACGUGGAAUCUCACAAUACCUCGUCAACUGUCAACUUCAGCGAGCCGGAUGGAGGAGGUGGAUCGUUCGCGAACGACCCAUUACAGCAGCCACAACAUUAGAUGGAACAGACACAAAGAUACAAAAGAGUUGCAGCUUUCGUUGAGUAGAACUGCACAAGAGGAGCCGAAUAAUAAAACCUUACGAUGACGUAAUGCAGUUCUACACCAAUGAAAAGCGUGCAUUCGUUAGAUUUGGCAGUGAAUCGUACCGUGGAAGUGCUCCCUAUGUUGUGGCCCCUAAUUGAAUAUUACAUACAGAAAAUGGAUGGAUGGAUGACAUUAAUGCACGAAGGAGUCAAGAUUGUAUACUGGACGUUGAGCCAGCCGAAACACACGUAAUUAACUAUUACAAAGUUCAAACAAAAAUAAUAAUACAAUUAAUUCUGUACUGUAUAAUUACGUAGUAUUUAGAUGUAUUACCCUUGUGUCAUGUCAGUUGGCAAAAUGUGUUUAAUUGCACAUGAUAAGGCCGGUGGGUGUGGGACACUUGAAAUCUGACGGAAAUCUGACAGCUUGUUAAUGCGGACGCAAGCUAACAUGUUCAAAACAAGACAACGGCGCCAUGGCUCCCACUACUUACCAAGGAAUGAGAUUGAAGUUUAUUUGGCGGAGUAAAAUGGCUGCGACUGCUCUGUGGGAUCUGAUGCAGAGUGACGUCAUGACGUAGCCGGACAGGAAGGGUGUUUGGGGGCGUGGUGGCGUGAGAGUGCACUUCCUCACUUCCACUUAGCAUUGUUAGUGCGUAAGUGCGUUGACACUGAGAAGUGCGAUAGAAGACAAUACACCGCCAGUACACUGAUGAACGUGCUCUAAAUAGUUAAGUGCGCUUCGAUGGACUCUAACCACCCUUGAUCAUCGCCAUCUUGGCAACGUAACGGGAGAGCAGGGACUAACUCUAGCGUUGUUUUCUUCUGUGGAAGAUGGAAUUAUAUAUUCAAAUUUUGUUCAGUUAGGAUAAAACCUGUGGUUUUCUAACUACAUUUUUGGUAGUAUUCUCAUCAUUAUGGUGGUUUCGUGAAUAUUUUUGUAUUAU
Doryrhamphus excisus (bluestripe pipefish) is the source of this 2017-nucleotide non-coding RNA. Lineage: Eukaryota; Metazoa; Chordata; Actinopteri; Syngnathiformes; Syngnathidae. The record is from RefSeq and is a predicted model, not a curated record.